This 279-nucleotide unclassified non-coding RNA is filed under the name plant metagenome. RNAcentral describes it as "partial contains small subunit ribosomal RNA, internal transcribed spacer 1, and 5.8S ribosomal RNA". The record is from RNAcentral.
UUUCCGUAGGUGAACCUGCGGAAGGAUCAUUAUCGUAUAACCAUGGACAGAUGUAUGUAGCUGACCUGAAAGGUCGUGCACGCCCGACUGUCCUUACACACAUCGAUCGUACCCCUAUGUACACCACCUCGUCUGUCCCCCUCUGCCUUGUUCGGCGUGGGGUUUACGUUUUCACUCAAACUUUCUUUUCAGUGUUGAAUGUAUUUUUUGUUUUUGCAAUUACCCUAUCUAUCCCACUUUCCACAACGUAUCUCUUGUCUCUCGCCUCGAAGAAAAGCG